GGCUCAGAACGAACGCGGGCGGCGUGCCUAACACAUGCAAGUCGAACGGAAUUAAGGGGCUUGCUCCUUAAUUUAGUGGCGCACGGGUGAGUAAUGCGUAGAUAAUCUACCCAAGGAUCCGGGAUAACAUUUCGAAAGGGGUGCUAAUACCGGAUAAGCCCACGGAGUCUUCGGACUCUGCGGGAAAAGGGGGGGACCUUCGGGCCUUCUGUCCUCGGAUGAGUCUACGUACCAUUAGCUAGUUGGUGGGGUAAAGGCCUACCAAGGCGACGAUGGUUAGCUGGUCUGAGAGGAUGAUCAGCCACAUUGGAACUGAGACACGGUCCAGACUCCUACGGGAGGCAGCAGUGGGGAAUUUUGCGCAAUGGGGGAAACCCUGACGCAGCAACGCCGCGUGAGUGAUGAAGGCCUUCGGGUCGUAAAGCUCUGUCAGUGGGAAAGAAAUGUACGAGGGUCAAUACCCCUUGUACUUGACGGUACCCACAAAGGAAGCACCGGCUAACUCCGUGCCAGCAGCCGCGGUAAUACGGAGGGUGCGAGCGUUGUUCGGAAUUAUUGGGCGUAAAGCGCGUGUAGGCGGCUUCUUAAGUCUGAUGUGAAAGCCCCGGGCUCAACCUGGGAAGUGCAUUGGAAACUGGGGAACUUGAAUACGGGAGAGGGUAGUGGAAUUCCUGGUGUAGGAGUGAAAUCCGUAGAUAUCAGGAGGAACACCGGUGGCGAAGGCGGCUACCUGGACCGAUAUUGACGCUGAGACGCGAAAGCGUGGGGAGCAAACAGGAUUAGAUACCCUGGUAGUCCACGCCGUAAACGAUGAGAACUAGGUGUUGCGGGUAUUGACCCCUGCAGUGCCGCAGCUAACGCAUUAAGUUCUCCGCCUGGGAAGUACGGUCGCAAGAC
Molecule: ribosomal RNA, 897 nt
Filed under: uncultured bacterium
Lineage: Bacteria
Description: bacterial SSU rRNA
Rfam family: Bacterial small subunit ribosomal RNA
Source: RNAcentral